Molecule: ribosomal RNA, 648 nt
Filed under: Pseudomonas sp. P26
Lineage: Bacteria; Pseudomonadati; Pseudomonadota; Gammaproteobacteria; Pseudomonadales; Pseudomonadaceae
Description: bacterial SSU rRNA
Rfam family: Bacterial small subunit ribosomal RNA
Source: RNAcentral
UAGUGGGGGACAACGUUUCGAAAGGAACGCUAAUACCGCAUACGUCCUACGGGAGAAAGCAGGGGACCUUCGGGCCUUGCGCUAUCAGAUGAGCCUAGGUCGGAUUAGCUAGUUGGUGGGGUAAUGGCUCACCAAGGCGACGAUCCGUAACUGGUCUGAGAGGAUGAUCAGUCACACUGGAACUGAGACACGGUCCAGACUCCUACGGGAGGCAGCAGUGGGGAAUAUUGGACAAUGGGCGAAAGCCUGAUCCAGCCAUGCCGCGUGUGUGAAGAAGGUCUUCGGAUUGUAAAGCACUUUAAGUUGGGAGGAAGGGCAGUAAGCUAAUACCUUGCUGUUUUGACGUUACCGACAGAAUAAGCACCGGCUAACUCUGUGCCAGCAGCCGCGGUAAUACAGAGGGUGCAAGCGUUAAUCGGAAUUACUGGGCGUAAAGCGCGCGUAGGUGGUUUGUUAAGUUGGAUGUGAAAGCCCCGGGCUCAACCUGGGAACUGCAUCCAAAACUGGCAAGCUAGAGUACGGUAGAGGGUGGUGGAAUUUCCUGUGUAGCGGUGAAAUGCGUAGAUUUAGGAAGGAACACCAGUGGCGAAGGCGACCACCUGGACUGAUACUGACACUGAGGUGCGAAAGCGUGGGGAGCAAACAGGA